GGUGAAAAGUACCAUUUGCUUGCUGUUCCUAUGUAAAAAUAUUAAGGUAGCAGCAGUCUUGAACUGUUAACUUUGUCACUGAGGAAUUGUGUGCUGUAACUGACUUAAUUAGCUGAAUUUCUCUGAAAACAGUCAAUUUUAAGCCAUACCAAGAAUUUUCUGAUUUUAGCUGCCACUUAUCUCAUAGUGCAAAGUUAGGAAUAACUUACUAUCUAAUCUGAGAGAGAGGACUGAAAUGUUCAUGUCAAGGAACAUAAUCUGCUUAAUGAAAUAUCCAAGAAGGAGCUCAGAAAAAUAUUGACUUAGAAGGUUUAUUCUUCAGUCCAAGGAAGCAAUUCACAGUCAGCUGUUAGAGAAGCAGAAAAUAGCAGAAGAAAAAAUUAAAGAACUAGAACAGAAAAAGUCCUACCUGGAGCGAAGCGUUAAGGAAGCUGAGGACAACAUCCGGGAGAUGCUGAUGGCACGAAGGGCCCAGUAGGGAGCCUCUCUGGGAAGCUCUUCCUCCUGCCCCUCCCAUUCCUGGUGGGGGCAGAGGAGUGUCUGCAGGGAAACAGCUUCUCCUCUGCCCCGAUGGAUGCUUUAUUUGGAUGGCCUGGCAACAUCACAUUUUCUGCAUCACCCUGAGCCCCAUUUGCUUCCCAGCCCUGGAGUUUUUACCCGGCUUUGCCUGCCACCUCUGCCCAGGACACUCUUCCCUCUCGGGAUGUGUGAUGAACUCCCAGGAGAGGGAAGAUGGGAGCCAGGGCAAGAUAGGAAGCUCUGCCUGAGCUUUCCACUAGGCACGCCAGCCAGACCAAUAAAAAGCGUCUGUCCCACUCUGCUAAGCCUGGUUUUCUUGAGCAGAGGGAUGGAACAGAGGGUGAGAGAGGCAGUGGCCGUCUCCACCUCAGCUCCUGCUCC
RNAcentral lists this long non-coding RNA (900 nucleotides) under Homo sapiens (human). RNAcentral's name for it is "non-protein coding lnc-HBEGF-4:2". The record is from RNAcentral. Lineage: Eukaryota; Metazoa; Chordata; Mammalia; Primates; Hominidae.